CAGUCGCCGCGGGAAAACGGAGGGUGCAAGCGUUAAUCGGAAUUACUGGGCGUAAAGCGCACGCAGGCGGUUUGUUAAGUCAGAUGUGAAAUCCCCGAGCUUAACUUGGGAACUGCAUUUGAAACUGGCAAGCUAGAGUCUUGUAGAGGGGGGUAGAAUUCCAGGUGUAGCGGUGAAAUGCGUAGAGAUCUGGAGGAAUACCGGUGGCGAAGGCGCCCCCCUGGACAAAGACUGACGCUCAGGUGCGAAAGCGUGGGGAGCAAACAGGAUUAGAUACCCGAGUAGUCCCUGUCUCUUAUAC
RNAcentral lists this ribosomal RNA (301 nucleotides) under uncultured bacterium. Its description in RNAcentral is "partial 16S ribosomal RNA". It matches the Rfam family "Bacterial small subunit ribosomal RNA", at positions 509 to 807 of the family's 1533-position model. The record is from RNAcentral.